RNAcentral lists this ribosomal RNA (497 nucleotides) under uncultured bacterium. Its description in RNAcentral is "partial 16S ribosomal RNA". It matches the Rfam family "Bacterial small subunit ribosomal RNA", at positions 28 to 507 of the family's 1533-position model. The record is from RNAcentral.
GACGAACGCUGGCGGCGUGCCUAAUACAUGCAAGUUGAGCGCUGAAGGUUGGUACUUGUGCCAACUGGAUGAGCAGCGGACGGGUGAGUAACGCGUGGGGAAUCUGCCUUUUAGCGGGGGACAACAUUGGGAAACGAAUGCUAAUACCGCAUAAAAACUUUAAACACAAGUUUUAAGUUUGAAAGAUGCAAUUGCAUCACUCAAAGAUGAUCCCGCGUUGUAUUAGCUAGUUGGUGAGGUAAAGGCUCACCAAGGCGAUGAUACAUAGCCGACCUGAGAGGGUGAUCGGCCACAUUGGGACUGAGACACGGCCCAAACUCCUACGGGAGGCAGCAGUAGGGAAUCUUCGGCAAUGGACGAAAGUCUGACCGAGCAACGCCGCGUGAGUGAAGAAGGUUUUCGGAUCGUAAAACUCUGUUGGUAGAGAAGAACGUUGGUGAGAGUGGAAAGCUCAUCAAGUGACGGUAACUACCCAGAAAGGGACGGCUAACUACGUG